GAUUGACCUCGGAUCAGGUAGGGAUACCCGCUGAACUUAAGCAUAUCAAUAAGCGGAGGAAAAGAAACCAACAGGGAUUGCCUCAGUAACGGCGAGUGAAGCGGCAACAGCUCAAAUUUGAAAUCUGGCUCCUUCGGGGCCCGAGUUGUAAUUUGUAGAGGACGUUUCGGGUGCGGCCCGGUCUAAGUCCCUUGGAACAGGGCGUCAUAGAGGGUGAGAAUCCCGUAUGUGACCGGUGACCAACCCCAUGUGAAACCCCUUCGACGAGUCGAGUUGUUUGGGAAUGCAGCUCAAAAUGGGUGGUAAAUUCCAUCUAAAGCUAAAUACUGGCCAGAGACCGAUAGCGCACAAGUAGAGUGAUCGAAAGAUGAAAAGCACUUUGGAAAGAGAGUCAAACAGUACGUGAAAUUGUUGAAAGGGAAGCGCUGGCAACCAGACCUGCCCCGGGCGAUCAGCGGGUGUUCUCACCCGUGCACUCGCCCGCGAUCAGGCCAGCAUCGGUUUCGGCGGUCGGAUACAGACCCGGGGAACGUGGCUCUCUUCGGGGAGUGUUAUAGCCCCGGGUGCAAUGCGGCCAGCCGGGACCGAGGACCGCGCUUCGGCUAGGAUGCUG
Molecule: ribosomal RNA, 613 nt
Filed under: Sphaerophorus globosus
Lineage: Eukaryota; Fungi; Ascomycota; Lecanoromycetes; Lecanorales; Sphaerophoraceae
Description: LSU rRNA
Rfam family: Eukaryotic large subunit ribosomal RNA
Source: RNAcentral